RNAcentral lists this ribosomal RNA (468 nucleotides) under uncultured bacterium. RNAcentral's name for it is "bacterial SSU rRNA". It matches the Rfam family "Bacterial small subunit ribosomal RNA", at positions 8 to 524 of the family's 1533-position model. The record is from RNAcentral.
AGAGUUUGAUCCUGGCUCAGAACGAACGCUGGCGGCAGGCCUAACACAUGCAAGUCGAACGCCCCGCAAGGGGAGUGGCAGACGGGUGAGUAACGCGUGGGAAUCUACCCAGUAGUACGGAAUAACCUACCGAAAGGUGGACUAAUACCGUAUACGCCCGCAAGGGGAAAGAUUUAUCGCUAUUGGAGGAGCCCGCGUCGGAUUAGCUAGUUGGUGGGGUAAAAGCCCACCAAGGCGACGAUCCGUAGCUGGUCUGAGAGGAUGAUCGGCCACACUGGGACUGAGACACGGCCCAGACUCCUACGGGAGGCAGCAGUGGGGAAUAUUGGACAAUGGGCGAAAGCCUGAUCCAGCCAUGCCGCGUGAGUGACGAAGGCCUUAGGGUUGUAAAACUCUUUCGACGGGGACGAUAAUGACGGUACCCGUAGAAGAAGCUCCGGCUAACUUCGUGCCAGCAGCCGCGGUAAU